GGUGACAAAUACACUUAUUGGAGUACUCAAGCUUCGGUAUAUCAACCGUGGUCUAUGGUACUACUCGGACUUCUUCUACCUUUAAGGAUGAUAAGCGGGCGUGGAUCGAGUCGAAGAGCAAGGAUUGUACGGAAAGAACGACCACAUAGUUUGAAAUACGUAAUGCUUUGAAACGUUAAUUUAAUGCAAAAAUAUUGUAAACCUCUUCCAGUAAGCGCCUAACAUUUUCGUAUUUGAGCUUGUAUGUAAGUAACGUGUCUAAUAAAGAAAGAAAUUUGAAGGCU
This 284-nucleotide long non-coding RNA is filed under the name Helianthus annuus (common sunflower). RNAcentral describes it as "sRNA HanXRQr2_Chr06g0257151". The record is from RNAcentral. Lineage: Eukaryota; Viridiplantae; Streptophyta; Magnoliopsida; Asterales; Asteraceae.